Molecule: long non-coding RNA, 566 nt
Organism: Erigeron canadensis
Lineage: Eukaryota; Viridiplantae; Streptophyta; Magnoliopsida; Asterales; Asteraceae
Exons: 3
Source: RefSeq, a predicted model, not a curated record
UUAAUAAAGAAAAAGAAAAGGAAAGUUAACAGAACUCUCUAGGAGCUCCUUCUACAAACACGACAUAUACAUAGUGUAUGAGAAUAUGGUGUCUUGAGUAGGUGACCCUCUCCUUAGUUCAUCGGCUCAAGGUUAAAGAAGAACCUGAUUUCAGCAAGCUAGAAAGAAAAUUUAAAGUGAUUAUUGCCUUAAAUGAAAAGUUAAUCAAGGUUAUACAAGAGAUCAAUCAAGUUUCACUUAAUAGCUAACGAUGAUCAUAAGGUAAGACAAGUGAAGCCCGAAAAGAUCCAGGGAAGGGUAUAGCUUAGCACUAGCGGUGUUGCUCGUUGGAUGGGUAACGAGCAUCUCUUAUGCCUUUUUUUGAUACUAGUUACGUUCCUUUUUGUGCAACUUAUAAAGUUGCAAGUUUAAACCAGUUGAUAACAAGCUUUUUGAACAGAUUUCAUUAAGUAUGUAUGGUCGGUUGUAAAUAAGUAGAAUGUAGUUUUGUACCAGUUUGUACAGAUGGUCCUGGUCAGAGUCUGAUCCUAGUCCUAGUUCUGGUCAUAACUCUCGAGUCAUUAAGG